GUGGACUCGGGUAGGGCUGCUCGUUACCCACUCGGCUUCGCUGCCUGGCCCAGUCGGAAUCCGGAGGUGGUAGUGCCCCUGCCUGGGAACCUGGGGCUCUAGAAGGCAGUCUUCGUGGGGAUUGGGACAGGACGACUCCUUCCCCACAGUCCCACAUUAGAACUGGGUCUUUUAAAUUCUGACUCUGCCAGCAAUUAAAAGUGCAGAUCGGAGGAGCCAGGCGGUGGUGGCGCAUGCCUUUGAUCCCAGCACUCAGAAGGCAGAGGCAGAUUAAAAGAGAGACCAGGAAAGGUCACACAUUUGAGCAGGUACUGACCAAGAAUGGCUGAGAACCUUGAAGGAGGAAGAAUGAAAGCGUCCACCGCAUACAGCAGUGAUCGAGCUGCUGAGGUGCCACUGCUAAUGAGAUUGUCCAGAGUAUACUCCUGAACCUUAAAGCAAUCUUGUUAAAAGACCAAGCCACAGUGUCUGGAGAUAACAUCAUGCAGAUAGGGCAGAUGACUGAAAAUAUUUACAAUGAUGAAGUGUCAGAUGUCACAACAUCAAACUGGAGGGACAAGGAUCUUAAACUCAAAGUAUGAGGUGUUUCUACUGAAUGUAUUGCUACGUGAAUGCUUGAUUUAUCAAGCGCCAAAAAGGCACUGUAUAGUAGGAAAUGUAAGCGGGAAGGCUUAUGGCAUUCUUUACCCUCUGAUUCUAGCACUUUCAAGUGAGCUGUUGCAUACUGUAACAUUGUAGCUAUUCGGGGAGAAAAAGGAAUGUUGCUUAAGAGAGCAUCAUUGUUUUAAGAUACGCAUUGCUGGGUAUUGCCUUUGAUUCUACUGUUUUAAGCCCUCAUUUUCUCAAAUUGUAAGUGCUUGCUGAAGUUCCCAAAUAUGCAAGGAUAACUUACACUUUUUCCUUCCAACAUUUCUUGAUUGGCUUUGCAGAAAUAAAGUUUAAAAAGAAAAAAAAAAGACCAAGCUAGAUGAUACAAGCUUGAAAGCCCUGGCUGUUUUGAAGCUGACAAAGCCUUUCAGACCGAGACCAAAAGCAUGACAUCCCUGGUAUGAGUUCAUAUUCCUGUGAUCUUUACCCAACUGGGAGCAUGAAAAGAGAGCAGGGAAACAAGCUAGGGGCUCAGGAGUUGAGCCACUGGGCCCAUGCAAUACACAAGGAAAAGACCAAAAGAGGUUAAUAUCAAUGUUGCUUACAGUAAGCCUACAGUUUGGGGGUACUUAAGACAGACUAGAAAACUGGAGUGUCAGUUCAGAAACCUGGUAUAGAACUCCAACUUUAUAGGGAAAAACAGCAAUGCAAACCUGAAUCCUCCUACUACCCUUAGUAGCCUCUCAUAAAACAGAGAGCCAAUGAAAGGCAUAUGGGCACUACAGAGGCUUUAGACAUCUAAAGGUAAGUUGCCUAUGCCAGAAAAUAACUCAACUUGAAC
Molecule: long non-coding RNA, 1429 nt
Organism: Psammomys obesus (fat sand rat)
Lineage: Eukaryota; Metazoa; Chordata; Mammalia; Rodentia; Muridae
Exons: 3
Source: RefSeq, a predicted model, not a curated record